CAUGUAGGCGGACUAACAAGUCAGGCGUGAAAGCCUAUGGCUCAACCAUAGAAUUGCGCUUGAAACUGUUAGUCUAGAGUGUGGGAGAGGCAGAUGGAAUUUCCGGUGUAGGGGUAAAAUCCGUAGAGAUCGGAAGGAAUACCUAUUGCGAAGGCGAUCUGCUGGAACAUCACUGACGCUCAGAUGCGAAAGCGUGGGGAGCAACA
RNAcentral lists this ribosomal RNA (206 nucleotides) under uncultured bacterium. RNAcentral's name for it is "partial 16S ribosomal RNA". It matches the Rfam family "Bacterial small subunit ribosomal RNA", at positions 568 to 773 of the family's 1533-position model. The record is from RNAcentral.